This 730-nucleotide unclassified non-coding RNA is filed under the name Hevea brasiliensis (rubber tree). Lineage: Eukaryota; Viridiplantae; Streptophyta; Magnoliopsida; Malpighiales; Euphorbiaceae. The record is from RNAcentral.
AGUUCGAACUUCGAAGAUAAUUGAAGCUGUUAAGAUAUGGUCACAGACAAUUUUAUCUGCAGGAAACCAAUUGGUGAGCUGAGAGGGUGCGUAGACAACAAAAGAGGGACCAAUGUUUCCCUAGCAUUACACAAUUAAUCAUUGAGGGAUCAAUUUCUGGAAUGAAAAAUAAUGGUAUACAAUUUCAGCAAAAAAAAUAUUGAAACAAUAUUGUUUAGCUUGGGGACAAUCAAACACAUACAACUGCCAUCACUUUGAAGCAGGCUUCUCUCAAAAUAUAACCACUAAAAAAAAAGAAAAACUAGCAAAAUAUAAGGCUUCUCAGACAAUAUGGUACUGAAAUUUUCCUUGGAUUUUUUCUCAAGCAACACAAUCUAAUAGUAAUUUCAGUCAGCUCCGAACAUUCUUGUCUUGCAAACCAAAUACUUGGAGUUAGAAAACUACUUCCCAUUAUUUUAACUUCCUUCAAUUAUGCUUGGAUCCACUUUUCUGCUAAAACUUUCUGAUCAAACAAACUAAGUCAUAGAGAAAAUCCUGCUUCUCCUCCAUUUUCAUACCCGUAAAAAAUAUGUUACAAAUUAAAAAAAAAAAUCUUUACAUCUCAGAGUAAAAUUGGAAAAAAUUCCUGGACUCUCCGGGAUUCCCUUAAAAUUAAUAAUAGUAAAAAAGGCCCUCAGAAUUUGUAACUAUAACUAAAACAAAUAAUUCAUAAUUGAGAGAUCAAAUGGAA